AAGACCUUGCGCUUUUGGAGCGGCCGAUGCCUGAUUAGCUUGUUGGUAAGGUAAAAGCUUACCAAGGCUUCGAUCAGUAGCUGGUCUGAGAGGACGACCAGCCACACUGGGACUGAGACACGGCCCAGACUCCUACGGGAGGCAGCAGUGGGGAAUUUUGGACAAUGGGGGCAACCCUGAUCCAGCCAUGCCGCGUGAGUGAAGAAGGCCUUCGGGUUGUAAAGCUCUUUCAGCCGGAACGAAACGGUUACGGAUAACACCCGUGACUACUGACGGUACCGGAUGAAGAAGCACCGGCUAACUACGUGCCAGCAGCCGCGGUAAUACGUAGGGUGCGAGCGUUAAUCGGAAUUACUGGGCGUAAAGCGUGCGCAGGUGGUUUUGUAAGUCAGAUGUGAAAGCCCCGGGCUCAACCUGGGAACU
RNAcentral lists this ribosomal RNA (423 nucleotides) under uncultured bacterium. RNAcentral describes it as "bacterial SSU rRNA". It matches the Rfam family "Bacterial small subunit ribosomal RNA", at positions 207 to 622 of the family's 1533-position model. The record is from RNAcentral.